AGAUCACUUUCAACAACGGAUCUCUUGGCUCUCGCAUCGAUGAAGAACGCAGCGAAAUGCGAUAAGUAGUGUGAAUUGCAUAAUUUGUGAAUCAUCGAAUCUUUGAACGCAAAUUGCACUCCCUGGUAUUCCGGGGAGUAUGCCUGUUUGAGGGUCGU
Molecule: ribosomal RNA, 158 nt
Filed under: uncultured Glomus
Lineage: Eukaryota; Fungi; Glomeromycota; Glomeromycetes; Glomerales; Glomeraceae
Description: 5.8S ribosomal RNA
Rfam family: 5.8S ribosomal RNA
About the family: 5.8S ribosomal RNA (5.8S rRNA) is a component of the large subunit of the eukaryotic ribosome. It is transcribed by RNA polymerase I as part of the 45S precursor that also contains 18S and 28S rRNA.
Source: RNAcentral